Molecule: ribosomal RNA, 523 nt
Filed under: uncultured bacterium
Lineage: Bacteria
Description: bacterial LSU rRNA
Rfam family: Bacterial large subunit ribosomal RNA
Source: RNAcentral
CUAGGUUCAGUGGAGGCGUCAGUGAAAUACCACCUGCUGGUUUCUGGUGUCUAACCGCAUCCCGUCAUCCGGGAUCGGGACACUGUCUGGUGGGUAGUUUGACGUGGGGCGGUCGCCUCCCAAAGAGUAACGGAGGCGCGCGAUGGUUCCCUCAGCCUGAUUGGAAACCAGGCGUCGAGUGCAAUGGCAUAAGGGAGCUUGACUGCAAGAGCGACGGCUCGAGCAGGUGCGAAAGCAGGUCAUAGUGAUCCGGUGGUUCUGAAUGGAAGGGCCAUCGCUCAACGGAUAAAAGGUACUCCGGGGAUAACAGGCUUAUCUCCUCCAAGAGUUCACAUCGACGAGGAGGUUUUGGCACCUCGAUGUCGGCUCAUCGCAUCCUGGGGCUGGAGCAGGUCCCAAGGGUUUGGCUGUUCGCCAAUUAAAGCGGUACGCGAGCUGGGUUCAAAACGUCGUGAGACAGUUUGGUCCCUAUCUUCCGUGGGCGUAGGAGGCUUGAGAGGCUCUGACCUUAGUACGAGAGGAC